Molecule: long non-coding RNA, 1236 nt
Filed under: Aquila chrysaetos chrysaetos
Lineage: Eukaryota; Metazoa; Chordata; Aves; Accipitriformes; Accipitridae
Description: lncRNA (ENSACCG00020002036.1)
Source: RNAcentral
CGGAGAGCUCCUGCGCCUCGGGGUCUCUUCGACGGGGCCGUCCCUGAUCCAGACCCCGGAGGAGGAAGAGGAGGAGGAUGAGGCUGGAGUUUCUCCUCUUUGUGGCAGGAGCCAUGGCAGCGCCGAGGCUCUCCCCGCCGCCGCUCGGGCUCCUCUUCCAAGAGGACGGGGGUUCCCCGAAAAUCAGCUGCUUCGCCCCGCAGAGCUACGCCGGCAGCACCUUCGAGCUCUUUGCGACGGGCGCCGAUGUCCCCGCGCAGAGUGUCUCCGCCAACCCGGGUCAGCACAAGGUUGAUUUCACCCUGGAUGGGACCGCGCUGGCCUCCCGGUGCUACCGGUGCAGGUACCGGAGCUAUAACGGCAGCGCCUGGCAGAUGUCGGCAUUCAGCAUGGAGAUUGUGGUGAACGCCUCGGGUGACGCCGGCUGUCAUCCCCCCACCGCCGCCCCGACCGGCCGUCCUCUGCCGACCUCCACCACUCUGCGGCAAGAUCGUUCCUGGCUUCUCCCAGUUGCCAUCAGCGUGGCCGGCCUGGUGCUGCUGCUGCUGGCAGCGGCGGCGGUGGUGGCCUGUCGAGUCAAGGCCAGGAGACAGCGGGCAAAGAGGCAGCAGGCGUCUUGCUGGACGGAAACGCGGUACCCCACCACCGAGCUUUCCUAUGACAACUGCGUCUACGCCGUCAGCGUGAAUGCGCAGCCAGGAGCCGCCGACGGCACCGGCACACCCCCGGUGUCCCCACAGAGAUACCCCCAGGCGUCCCCCCCCAUGGCAUCCCACUUCAGCACCUUCAGGUCCUUGGCAUGAGCCCCGGCGGGGCCGUGUCUGCCGGAGCUCCCCACGGCACCAGAGCCCAGCUCCUCCUUCUGCCGGGGAGCACGAGGAGCUCCCGGCCCAACCGCGAGGGAAGGGGCUGCGUGAAGUCAAGGUCGGUGAGGCGCCGGCACGCCGCGGCACCACGCCGGCUGGGGGACGUGCCGGGGGCUUCCCGGAGCUGCCCACGAGACCCCCGGCACGGGAGAGGUGCCGACGCACCGCCGGCGGUUCAACACCAGAGCCGGCAAAGGGCCCUCCUCUUCCUCGCACCUUUGCCACCGGGGAGGCGGUGGGCGCGCGGCAGAGCUGGGCUGGGCGCCCCAAAUCGCGGUGACUCUGUGCCGGGGCGUCUCUGCUGGCACUGGAGCCGGCUCUGGUUACAAUAAAGGUGUUUGCCGCCAGGUGCCGGUGCAGGACGUGGGUG